AUUGAACGCUGGCGGCAGGCUUAACACAUGCAAGUCGAGCGGGGGAAGGUAGCUUGCUACCGGACCUAGCGGCGGACGGGUGAGUAAUGCUUAGGAAUCUGCCUAUUAGUGGGGGACAACAUCUCGAAAGGGAUGCUAAUACCGCAUACGUCCUACGGGAGAAAGCAGGGGAUCUUCGGACCUUGCGCUAAGAGAUGAGCCUAAGUCGGAUUAGCUAGUUGGUGGGGUAAAGGCCUACCAAGGUGCCGAUCUGUAGCGGGUCUGAGAGGAUGAGCCGCCACACUGGGACUGAGACACGGCCCAGACUCCUACGGGAGGUAGCAGUGGGGAAUAUUGGACAGUGGGGGGAACCCUGAUCCAGCCAUGCCGCGUGUGUGAAGAAGGCCUUAUGGUUGUAAAGCACUUUAAGCGAGGAGGAGGCUACUCUAGUUAAUACCUAGGGAUAGUGGACGUUACUCGCAGAAUAAGCACCGGCUAACUCUGUGCCAGCCGCCGCGGUAA
Molecule: ribosomal RNA, 501 nt
Filed under: uncultured bacterium
Lineage: Bacteria
Description: partial 16S ribosomal RNA
Rfam family: Bacterial small subunit ribosomal RNA
Source: RNAcentral